CUCGCAGGUGCAUCGUACUUCGCCAACACUUUCAACCCUCCCGAUAGAACAGGCGCUGCAAUGCAAGAUUGCUUCGAGCAAUGCAAAUCCACUUGCUCCUGUGCGGCGUUCUUUUUCGACCAGGCGCUCCAGAAUUGCUUUUUCGUAGAAGACGUCCUGGGAAGCUUGACGGUAGACUCGAACAAGACUCAGCAACUGUUCGGCUUUCUGAAGUACCAGAAUUACUCCAGGUUAGUGCCUGUUGACAACUCAUCGUCAGACACUCCAAAGCUCCUAGUGAUCGGAAUUACCUCUGGAGGAGCUGCUGUAGCCAUUGUAACUUUUGCGUUCCUUUUCACGAUCCUGCAUCGAAGGAGGGUCAUGCUCAAGGAACUAAACAGUUUCCUUACCGGUGUACAAGCUUCGCCUUACAGGUUCUCGUUCAGCAGCCUAUACUCUGCAACAAAAGGAUUCACAAAGGUUUUAGGAAGCGGAGGUUGCGGCACAGUGUACGAAGGAAUGCUUCACAACGGGAUGAAGCUGGCAGUGAAGAAACUCAGCACACAGCACGGACAAAAGGAGUUUGUAACAGAAGUCUCGGCUCUGGGAAACAUAAGCCACAUCAACAUUGUCAAACUCUAUGGCUUCUGUGCCGAUGCUUCACACAGGCUGCUCGUCUACGAGCUCAUGCCCAAUGGUUCCUUGGACAGAUGGAUUUUCUCCGACAACAAGGACAAACUGGACUGGAAACUUCGACACAGCAUUGCCCUCGACACUGCUCGAGGACUGGCCUACUUGCACGAGGAAUCCAGAGACUCGAUCAUCCACUUGGAUAUCAAGCCACAAAACAUCCUCCUGGGUGACAAGUUUGAGGCCAAAGUCGCAGACUUUGGCAUGGCGAAGCUACUCAUGGACAGAGAUCAAAAUGGAGUGGUCACUGGAGUGAGAGGAACUCCAGGAUAUCUAGCUCCAGAGUGGCUGCUACACUCAACAGCGACCAAGAAAUGCGACGUCUACAGCUAUGGAAUGGUGCUCCUGGAGCUCAUUGGCGGCAGGAAAAAUCUAGACUGCUCCAAGAUGGAGUCGCCACUGAGCUGGUACUUCCCAGCCUGGGCCAUGAGCGAAAUCCGGAAAGGGAACACGAUGCAAGUGGUGGAUCCGAGCGUCAAGGACUCGGCAGACACAAGGCAGGCAAAGAAUAUGAUCCACAUCGCAUUCUGGUGCACGCAAGAUGAUCCAGCAGCUAGACCGACAAUGGAUGCAGUAGUGCGAAUGCUGGAGAGCGAGGAGGAGAUCGAGGAGCCGCCGCUUACCUUCCAGUUCGAUGUCCAAGCGCCUGGAAUCCUCACCAUCACCUCGAGC
RNAcentral lists this long non-coding RNA (1341 nucleotides) under Selaginella moellendorffii. Its description in RNAcentral is "long non-coding RNA (SMOE_LNC000330)". Lineage: Eukaryota; Viridiplantae; Streptophyta; Lycopodiopsida; Selaginellales; Selaginellaceae. The record is from RNAcentral.